Molecule: ribosomal RNA, 658 nt
Filed under: Microbacterium arborescens
Lineage: Bacteria; Bacillati; Actinomycetota; Actinomycetes; Micrococcales; Microbacteriaceae
Description: bacterial SSU rRNA
Rfam family: Bacterial small subunit ribosomal RNA
Source: RNAcentral
AGCUUGCUCUGUGGAUCAGUGGCGAACGGGUGAGUAACACGUGAGCAAUCUGCCCCUGACUCUGGGAUAAGCGCUGGAAACGGCGUCUAAUACCGGAUACGAGCUGCGACCGCAUGGUCAGUAGCUGGAAAGAAUUUCGGUCAGGGAUGAGCUCGCGGCCUAUCAGCUUGUUGGUGAGGUAAUGGCUCACCAAGGCGUCGACGGGUAGCCGGCCUGAGAGGGUGACCGGCCACACUGGGACUGAGACACGGCCCAGACUCCUACGGGAGGCAGCAGUGGGGAAUAUUGCACAAUGGGCGAAAGCCUGAUGCAGCAACGCCGCGUGAGGGAUGACGGCCUUCGGGUUGUAAACCUCUUUUAGCAGGGAAGAAGCGAAAGUGACGGUACCUGCAGAAAAAGCGCCGGCUAACUACGUGCCAGCAGCCGCGGUAAUACGUAGGGCGCAAGCGUUAUCCGGAAUUAUUGGGCGUAAAGAGCUCGUAGGCGGUCUGUCGCGUCUGCUGUGAAAACCCGAGGCUCAACCUCGGGCCUGCAGUGGGUACGGGCAGACUAGAGUGCGGUAGGGGAGAUUGGAAUUCCUGGUGUAGCGGUGGAAUGCGCAGAUAUCAGGAGGAACACCGAUGGCGAAGGCAGAUCUCUGGGCCGUAACUGACGCUGA